Small nuclear RNA from Pongo abelii (Sumatran orangutan), 127 nucleotides. Its record names the gene U2. It matches the Rfam family "U2 spliceosomal RNA". Rfam says of the family: U2 is a small nuclear RNA (snRNA) component of the spliceosome (involved in pre-mRNA splicing). The record is from Ensembl. Lineage: Eukaryota; Metazoa; Chordata; Mammalia; Primates; Hominidae.
AUCACUUCUCAGCCUUUUGGCUAAGAUCAAGUGUAGUAUCCAUUCUCACCAGUUUAAAAAGGCAUUUUUUUUUUGCUUCUAUUGAAAAAGUCUGAAAACAAUAUCUUAAUAUGUCUUCUGAUCUUUU